GAUGAACGCUGGCGGCGUGCUUAACACAUGCAAGUCGAACGGGUCUGCCCUGUUUUUUGCGGGGUGGGUCAGUGGCGAACGGGUGAGUAACACGUGAGUAACCUGCCCCUCACUUCUGGAUAACCGCUUGAAAGGGUGGCUAAUACGGGGUGUUCUGGCUGUGCCGCAUGGUGUGGCUGGGAAAGAUUCACUUUUGUGGUGUUUUGGUGGGGGAUGGGCUCGCGGCCUAUCAGCUUGUUGGUGGGGUGAUGGCCUGCCAAGGCUUUGACGGGUAGCCGGCCUGAGAGGGUGGGCGGUCACACUGGGACUGAGAUACGGCCCAGACUCCUGCGGGAGGCAGCAGUGGGGGGUAUUGCACAAUGGGCGGAAGCCUGAUGCAGCGACGUCGCGUGAGGGAUGGAGGCCUUCGGGUUGUGAACCUCUUUCGCCGGUGAAGAAGGUCCUGCUCUUUGUGGUGGGGUUGACGGUAGCCGGGUUAUGAAGCGCCGGCUAACUACGUG
RNAcentral lists this ribosomal RNA (500 nucleotides) under uncultured bacterium. RNAcentral describes it as "partial 16S ribosomal RNA". It matches the Rfam family "Bacterial small subunit ribosomal RNA", at positions 28 to 507 of the family's 1533-position model. The record is from RNAcentral.